GACGAACGCUGGCGGCGUGCUUAACACAUGCAAGUCGAACGGAAAGGCCCUGCUUUUGUGGGGUGCUCGAGUGGCGAACGGGUGAGUAACACGUGAGUAACCUGCCCUUGACUUUGGGAUAACUUCAGGAAACUGGGGCUAAUACCGGAUAGGAGCUCCUGCUGCAUGGUGGGGGUUGGAAAGUUUCGGCGGUUGGGGAUGGACUCGCGGCUUAUCAGCUUGUUGGUGGGGUAGUGGCUUACCAAGGCUUUGACGGGUAGCCGGCCUGAGAGGGUGACCGGCCACAUUGGGACUGAGAUACGGCCCAGACUCCUACGGGAGGCAGCAGUGGGAAAUAUUGCACAAUGGGCGGAAGCCUGAUGCAGCAACGCCGCGUGCGGGAUGACGGCCUUCGGGUUGUAAACCGCUUUCGCCUGUGACGAAGCGUGAGUGACGGUAAUGUGUAAAGAAGCACCGGCUAACUACGUG
Molecule: ribosomal RNA, 468 nt
Filed under: uncultured bacterium
Lineage: Bacteria
Description: partial 16S ribosomal RNA
Rfam family: Bacterial small subunit ribosomal RNA
Source: RNAcentral